UAAACCAACACUCGAAAACAACAUUUGGAAUUACCAAUACAAAACAUUCUAGAAAGAAAAAAAAAGCUUUACAUACUGGGUUGCAAAAACGAAACAACUUGGUUGGUACAUAAAAAGUUAGUUACUUAUUAAUUGUUAAUUAAAAAGAAGAAUGAAGACAAAGUGCAAUGAAGAGAUUGGAUAAUUAAUAUUAUUUGGAAGAAUAGAUUUAGAAGGAAAGUAAGUGGAGAAGAUUGUAAAUAGAAAUAAUUAAGGGAUCUAUACUUUAGUUUGUUUUCUUUUUUCCAUUAGCUAGCUAGCAAAUACGAGUGUUCAAUGUGUGAAAUAUGACUUGUCCCCCACCGGAAGGGCUGUUAAUAUG
This 361-nucleotide long non-coding RNA is filed under the name Cicer arietinum (chickpea). RNAcentral describes it as "long non-coding RNA (CARI_LNC001946)". The record is from RNAcentral. Lineage: Eukaryota; Viridiplantae; Streptophyta; Magnoliopsida; Fabales; Fabaceae.